Non-coding RNA from Ornithorhynchus anatinus (platypus), 72 nucleotides. Lineage: Eukaryota; Metazoa; Chordata; Mammalia; Monotremata; Ornithorhynchidae. The record is from the annotation of a RefSeq genome assembly.
GCCACUUGGCUCAACUGGGAGAGCUUUAGACUGAAGAUCUAAAGGUCCCUGGUUCGAUCCCGGGCUUCGGCA